CCUACGGGAGGCAGCAGUGAGGAAUAUUGGUCAAUGGACGAGAGUCUGAACCAGCCAAGUAGCGUGCAGGAUGACUGCCCUAUGGGUUGUAAACUUCUUUUAUAUGGGAAUAAAACGUUCCACGUGUGGGAUUUUGUAUGUACCAUAUGAAUAAGGAUCGGCUAACUCCGUGCCAGCAGCCGCGGUAAUACGGAGGAUCCGAGCGUUAUCCGGAUUUAUUGGGUUUAAAGGGAGCGUAGGUGGAUUGUUAAGUCAGUUGUGAAAGUUUGCGGCUCAACCGUAAAAUUGCAGUUGAAACUGGCAGUCUUGAGUACAGUAGAGGUAGGCGGAAUGCGUGGUGUAGCGGUGAAAUGCUUAGAUAUCACGAAGAACUCCGAUUGCGAAGGCAGUUCACUGGACUGCAACUGACACUGAGGCUCGAAAGUGUGGGUAUCAAACAGGAUUAGAUACCCGUGUAGUC
RNAcentral lists this ribosomal RNA (460 nucleotides) under uncultured bacterium. Its description in RNAcentral is "partial 16S ribosomal RNA". It matches the Rfam family "Bacterial small subunit ribosomal RNA", at positions 338 to 795 of the family's 1533-position model. The record is from RNAcentral.